Molecule: unclassified non-coding RNA, 3456 nt
Filed under: Hevea brasiliensis (rubber tree)
Lineage: Eukaryota; Viridiplantae; Streptophyta; Magnoliopsida; Malpighiales; Euphorbiaceae
Source: RNAcentral
GUUCGGUUUAAAAUCCUUGAAAACCAUGCACAGCCCUAGUAGCUGAGAGAAACAAAAAUUGUGUCCUAUAACUCUCUUCAAUGUCCAAAAUUGAAUAAAUUACAACAAAUUAAUACUAUUCUUUUUCGUUACAAAUAAGUACGAUAAAAUCCCUACUUGAAGUCAAAAUGGGACACAAAUAUGGGUUUCAUAGUCCCUACCAAUGGCCAUUGUUCAAAAUUUUCUAUAAAAUUUAACUGACUCGUAGCAUAAAGAACCCCUAUAUUCUACCUGAACGUGUUCUGUUAAAACCACAUACCUUAAAUCACCUGAUUGAUAGCGCACACUUGGAAAAAUUCUGCUGUUUCAAUUACUUCCCUCAGAGCAUUUGGUCCUAAACACUUGAGAACCUCAUUUGCAUCUUUGAAGCAAGAUGAGUGAUCUUUCUUCGGCCAUUGUACAAGCCAACAUCUAGAACAAAACAAGGGAAAAAAGGACAGCAGAAUAAAUUUAGGCAUUUUGGCAUAGCCCAUAUUGGUGGAAUGGAAAAUGAAAUGAGCAUUUUUGACCUUUAGCACUAAAAGAAACUCAUGGCUACAAUAUACAGCAUGAUUGCAGUGGUAUAAAUCUAGAAACAGAGUUCUAUUACUAAAGAUACUGUACAUAAUAAAUUUCAGGUCUAUUGUUCUAAGUCUAAUUUGAUGAUGAAACACGUCUCCAGUUGUCUCUUAAUAUGCACUUCCAUGUUGAAACAAAUCUAAGCUUAUUAAGCUAAUAAAACAUAGUAAACACAAUAGCUCAUUCUAACCAAACAGCCAAAAUUCCAAUAUUUUAACCAUAUUGACCCCCUAAUCCAAGAGGAGACCAGCAUGUAUCAUAAAUCUUCAUGCAGUAGUAAACUAUUCAACCAUGAGAUUGAUGAGGGCAGGGAUCCACCAACCAGAGGAAGAGAGCUGAAGAAAAAGAACCAACGUUGGGCAGUAUAUUCUAGAAGAGUAAAGAAAGUUCCAGAAGGAAAUUCGGUAGAAAAUGCAGAUCCACAGCUGGACAAAGAGGGAAAUUCUGUUGAAAAAGUUGCUGGGAGAGAAUGCAUGUGGAGAGAGGCUCACUUGAGGUAGACAAACUAUAAAGAAGAGAGUUGAGCUGAGAGGGGAUCAUCUUUGGGUAAUAAGAAAUUUGGGGGAUGUUUUCUUUUUCACACAAGCUUGUAAGGUUGGGGCCAGUUUGUAUUCUGCCUAGGAAAUUCAUCUUCUGGUAAUUCUAGUUUUAGUCAUUUCCCGCAUUUUUCAAUUCCUCUAUAUUAAACUCUGGAUUUGCUAUGUUGAAGAAGUUGAAUAGAAUCUGAAGUUGGAAUUGAUUCAAACUUGUGUUGAAUUGUUGGGUGCUGAACUUAAAUUCUUCAGAGCUUUUGUUUACUCUAUCAAAUUGGUCCGACCUGCCAGAUCUGAACCAGCGAUCACCAAGGCUUUACUCUAUCAGAGGUCAUUGUUACCUUUCUUUUCCCAGCCGGCGUGCUAACUCUUCAGCCAAGGCUUGCCCACACACAUCGCCAUCAGUUGCCAGGAUAAUGCGAGACACCUUAUCCAAGUACUCUUUGCAAUUCCAUAGAUACUGAUAUGCUUUGUCCUUUUUCCAUGAUGGUAAAUCUUUAGCAGAAACAAUUUGUGGGGCACCUCCAGGAACACUAACACAAUUACGGAAGCCAGCUUCCUCCACUGAAAGCUUAUCAAUUUCACCUUCAACCUUUAACAGCACCAAAGCAUUAAAUAACAACUGGGGCAUUAAGGCAAAGAAGGAAGGACAGAGUAAGAGCGAGAGAGAUGUAAAUAUAUGGUUAAAAUUGCAAAUAAGGUGAUGAAAUCUACGAUAACAAUUUCAGUCGCUUCAUUUAUGUCAUCCAGCCCGUAUAACCAUUUUUCAGUGCCCUUAUCCUGCCAAAAAAUUUUCUCCAUGGUUCGAUACUUGCAACCAAUAAGAUUUCCAUUUCGUCUAUAAGUAAACGCAAUAAUACCCUGAUUGCCAGCCAUCUGCAUAACAGAAUUUCUCCUGAGGGUUUCUUCAGAUAUCAUUCUAUCACCAAAAUAUGCAAUUAGCUUCUCACCUAUUGGUUCUAGUAUUAUGCCCUCAGCUGUUAUUUGCCUAGGGGAACUGACUUUGAAAAUUAUGUUCAUUCCUUCAUUUGUCACUCUACCAUCUGCAAAAGCAUUGUGUCACCUGUCCUGCCCAUCCACAGCAAGUACGGUAACACCGCCACAUUGCAAAAUCCGCAUCUUCGACAAUAUGUACAGAUAAACUCCUCUCUAUUGAUCUGCCACCUUUGCACUACAUUACCAAAGCUUGGGACAAAGCAAGUUACUGUAAUUUCCAGGUAUGCAAGAAUCAUUGCAGUUAAUCCCAAGAAGUUCCAUCUUCUGCUUCAAGAUCCUCACUUUAUGCUUUUCUAAUCCUGUUCUGUUAGCUGAUUGUAGAAUUAGGAGCCUGGAGUUGCGAUAGCGAGAGAGAAAGCGAGACCCAAUAGGCUCCAGUCUUCUUCUGGUUAAUAUUGGUGCCCAGCAAUUCUUGUUUGAGAGGAAGUGUUUGGAAGGGAUGGGCCUAUUGCAACUAAUCAAACAGUCUUGUUACCAUAUUGAUACAGAUUGAAGUUUUAUUACAUGUUACCAGAAUUAAAAUUAGAGCAAAGUAUAGUAUUCAAUAAUCAGUGGUGUAAUUUACCUAAAAUGGUUUAACAAAUUAUUGCUAGAGUAUAAGAAAAAAGUGAACUUCCAUUAAGAAAUCCUAUUAUGAUCUGCAAAACCAUGGUGAAAGUGUUGCCACGCUAGAAUAAACUAUCAAAAAUCUGAAAUAAUUUUUAGAUCCCAAUAAUUUGGAUUCCCACACCACAACAAUAGUGAGUUUCUCAUACCUCCUAUUGGAUAAGGCAUCGCUUAUGGCUACAAUGACCUUAUUUUGCACCUUUCUAACACAAAUCAUUGGACAUAGAAAGUGAUUAAGUUUCCCAGGAGUAACCGUAUCCAUUUCAAUACCCAACUCUUCCAAUUUGCGCCUUAGAAUCUCCAAUUUUCUUAAGUUCUUCACUUCCGAAUCCCCGCCAUAAACUGGAGCUGGAACAGUGGCAUUUGAGGUGAAGCCGUUAACUUUAAGGAAAUAAGGGUGGGUUUUAGAGAUGGGUUUAGGACAAAAGACUGGUAAAAAACGUUUAGAGGUGUGAUAUGGGUGUCUUGUUGAAGAAAAAGAGGAAGGUGGAGAAAGUGAAGGUGGAGGGGAAGGCUUGAGCAAGAAUUUGGAACCCAUAUGAAGAAGACCAAUGUUUGAGGACGAGAAGACAAGCUUGCGGAGAUGGGUUUGAGAAUUGUAAUGAGCAAAACGAAGCAUCCUUUCGUUGGUCCCUUUGUUGGCAGACUCUCAACAGGGCUCCAUGGCGAUGGAUAGAAAGAGGAGAGGAAGAACGCCAACGGCUUACGACGCUUUGAAGGCUAA